This is a long non-coding RNA of Oncorhynchus gorbuscha (pink salmon), 1499 nucleotides long. RefSeq lists it as uncharacterized. Lineage: Eukaryota; Metazoa; Chordata; Actinopteri; Salmoniformes; Salmonidae. The transcript is spliced from 3 exons. The record is from RefSeq and is a predicted model, not a curated record.
CUAACACAUAACACACAGCUGUCUGUGCGGGUCGCUACAGUAAUUUGUUUUCGUGAAUUUUCAUACCUGUUUGUGGCUAGACAAGCUCGCUAGUUGAGUGUCUUGAUAAUAAAAAUCUAGCCAGCUAAUGUUAAUUUCUGUGCACAGCUGCCUACCAGUUUAUGAAUCUGGAGACACUGGAGGUGUUUGGGGUGGAGAGGACAGUGGACUCAGUGGAGGACAUCCCAGCCACUUGGCAGUAAGGGCAUGCCGGGCGUGAGCCAACAGCCCAGCUCUGACCAACGGCGAAGUCAGCUCAAAGUUAUUUGAUUGCUUUUGAUUUAAAAAAAAAACAUUUAUCUGCCUUCCCAAUGAAAAAUAGUUUGAAAUGUCGAACAUAUAUUUACAGAAAAUAGAUUUAUGUUUCUGAAUGAUGCACCAUGCUGCUUUGUUGACAACAUGACUGAGCUGCACAAGAUUACUGUUCCAUUUGAGAAGGGCGCUCCUCCCUCACGGCGUUUUACCUUUCACGUCACUGACCAUAGCUGGGUGCACCGCAGCUCAGGUUAAUAGAACUCCCUCAGUGUUGGCACUGCUACUUCCUACCUGAUGGGUAAGAGGACAUCACACACAGAAUUAGGAGUCUUCCACUAUUUACAUGUUUGGGUGUAUGUGUGUCAGAGGUGAGGGAUGAUAAGCCAGUGUUUGAGUAGAAGCGUCUGGUGUGUUAGGACUUGUGGAUGCACUCCAAUUUCCUGAACAAAAAGGGUGUUACAGGAGGAAUUGAAGGGGGAGCAUGCCUUGUACCUGCGGCAGCACCCGGAUUUCCGAGCCAUGAUGGCCGACUUCUUGCAGUUCCUGUUACUACAAAAACAAGCGACGUCAUCAUGUUCGCCUGUGAAGACUUCUCCACUGGGGGGCCUCUUCAACACCUCUUCACCUUGAGGACAUACUGUGGCUUCCUCUCAAAGGCCCUUUAGUGAGGACAAUACUAUUCUGGUUAGCAGUUGUCACUAGUAUGUACAGUGGCCCUCGAGAUCCUAGAGUAUUGUUUUUACAUUUUGUAAUACUGUUUUUACUGUCUACUGUUUUUGUUUGCAUGAGCUGUAUUGAAACAUUCCAAUCAACUCAUGCUCAUCUGACUCAAAAAGUAAACUAUUGUAUAACUUUGCUGCCCAGAUUGCCUAGGAAUGUAACAGCCUUUGAAUAAUACAAUUAUAUGUGUAUUAAUAGUCCAGACAAUCUUGCAAGGCAGACUAAAGGUCUGCUUAAUAGCUGAAACAGUUCAGCAGAGUUUGUAAAUAUAUUAUGACUGCAUUUUGUGAUGUUUUGAACUUUAGUGAGUGUGUUUUUCGGCUGUUUGGAUACAACAACAAAAAAUCCUAGAAGCAAGCCAAAGUUCAGAGCCGAAGUCCAUGUCCCUUCGUCGGGGGUGGGUAACAGUAGGGGUUCUUCAAUAAAUUAUUUGUUGUCAUUAAAUGAGAGACGACUUGUUUUCAUGCACAGUUUUUCAUUGAAAA